GGCAGCAUGGUCUUAGCUUGCUAAGGCCGAUGGCGACCGGCGCACGGGUGAGUAACACGUAUCCAACCUGCCGUCUACUCUUGGACAGCCUUCUGAAAGGAAGAUUAAUACAAGAUGGCAUCAUGAGUCCGCAUGUUCACAUGAUUAAAGGUAUUCCGGUAGACGAUGGGGAUGCGUUCCAUUAGAUAGUAAGCGGGGUAACGGCCCACCUAGUCUUCGAUGGAUAGGGGUUCUGAGAGGAAGGUCCCCCACAUUGGAACUGAGACACGGUCCAAACUCCUACGGGAGGCAGCAGUGAGGAAUAUUGGUCAAUGGGCGAGAGCCUGAACCAGCCAAGUAGCGUGAAGGAUGACUGCCCUAUGGGUUGUAAACUUCUUUUAUAAAGGAAUAAAGUCGGGUAUGUAUACCCGUUUGCAUGUACUUUAUGAAUAAGGAUCGGCUAACUCCGUGCCAGCAGCCGCGGUAAUACGGAGGAUCCGAGCGUUAUCCGGAUUUAUUGGGUUUAAAGGGAGCGUAGAUGGAUGUUUAAGUCAGUUGUGAAAGUUUGCGGCUCAACCGUAAAAUUGCAGUUGAUACUGGAUAUCUUGAGUGCAGUUGAGGCAGGCGGAAUUCGUGGUGUAGCGGUGAAAUGCUUAGAUAUCACGAAGAACUCCGAUUGCGAAGGCAGCCUGCUAAGCUGCAACUGACAUUGAGGCUCG
This 698-nucleotide ribosomal RNA is filed under the name uncultured Bacteroidales bacterium. RNAcentral describes it as "bacterial SSU rRNA". It matches the Rfam family "Bacterial small subunit ribosomal RNA", at positions 68 to 755 of the family's 1533-position model. Lineage: Bacteria; Pseudomonadati; Bacteroidota; Bacteroidia; Bacteroidales. The record is from RNAcentral.